Molecule: long non-coding RNA, 1116 nt
Organism: Capra hircus (goat)
Lineage: Eukaryota; Metazoa; Chordata; Mammalia; Artiodactyla; Bovidae
Source: Ensembl
AUCUCUUCCAUGAGUUUUCUGGCAAGCUGCCAGACUUUCUCCAUAGAUAACCAUCUUCAGUGACUAAAGAGUUUCAUAACUGCACAAGAGUCUUCAGCUACUGUGUCACUCCAUCCUUAUCACAUGGAACAGAUUGGAACUUUUAUCCGUCCUGAGUGACUGAGACUGCAGUCUGCCCCUGUUCAUCGGCAGGUAUCAUCAGGAAUAGGGUGGCAUUCCAGGAAACAAACUUUUCCUUCCUGUUCUCUGCCUGUAGCAGAAAAUAGACAAGCCCAGCAGAUGUCCAGGGAUGGCGGAGGAGUACUGCAGCUUCCUUGGAGAGAAGCAGGCGCUCCAGGGAGCCUUGGGCCACAGUAUUUUUAAACCCUUUGUGGCCGCCUGUUCGCAGUCUCCUGUGACUUCGAUGAACCAGAUCCAGAGAGUUUCUCAUGGGAAUCCAGGACGCUUUGCCACAACUGCUGGCUUCACUUGCCUGUGUUUGGGGCCCUUGUUAAUGCAGCCCUUGGGGUUUUGCUUCGUGUCUUCAAGACUUGGGAAGCAGCAGACCCUGUGGAGGCACCGGGAAUGUGGUAGGGAGGCUGUCUUCACGGGGCGUUGCAAGGACGACUGCCCUAGGCCUAUAAAGACUUGCUGGCUUUGUGGAUGGAGCAGUUCAGGUUGACGGCUAAACUUCAGGCAUCUUCAUGCAAACUUGGGCACUAGCAAGAGAGAUUCAGCUCUCACUACUUUCUAAGGGCCCUUUCAUGUGGAAGUUCUUGUUAUUGUUGUGGUGGUUUGUUUCCUGUGUAUUAUCCAGCUUUAGUCAAGAUAUUGUGUAGGGGACUUCCCUGGUGGUCCAGUGGCUGAGACUCCACGCUCCCAAUGCAGGACGCCUAGGUUCCAUCCCUGGUCAGGGAGCUAGAUCCCACAUGUCCUAACUAAGAGUUUGCACGGGUCAACUAGAAAAAAAAAAAAAUUGUGCAUACCACAACUAAGGCUCAGUGCAGCCAAAUAAAUAAAUAUGAAAAAAAAUAUUCUGUAAAUAUAUGGUCUGUCCCAUCCCUUCACCUUUGCUCUUCCCAGUAACCGAGAAGAGCAGUUAUUUAAGAUAAAGUUAUUUAUCUUUCUGAUGCUCUU